GUCGUACGCUUCUUUUUCACCGGAGCUUGCUCCACCGGAAAAAGAAGAGUGGCGAACGGGUGAGUAACACGUGGGUAACCUGCCCAUCAGAAGGGGAUAACACUUGGAAACAGGUGCUAAUACCGUAUAACAAUCGAAACCGCAUGGUUUUGAUUUGAAAGGCGCUUUCGGGUGUCGCUGAUGGAUGGACCCGCGGUGCAUUAGCUAGUUGGUGAGGUAACGGCUCACCAAGGCCACGAUGCAUAGCCGACCUGAGAGGGUGAUCGGCCACAUUGGGACUGAGACACGGCCCAAACUCCUACGGGAGGCAGCAGUAGGGAAUCUUCGGCAAUGGACGAAAGUCUGACCGAGCAACGCCGCGUGAGUGAAGAAGGUUUUCGGAUCGUAAAACUCUGUUGUUAGAGAAGAACAAGGAUGAGAGUAACUGUUCAUCCCUUGACGGUAUCUAACCAGAAAGCCACGGCUAACUACGUGCCAGCAGCCGCGGUAAUACGUAGGUGGCAAGCGUUGUCCGGAUUUAUUGGGCGUAAAGCGAGCGCAGGCGGUUUCUUAAGUCUGAUGUGAAAGCCCCCGGCUCAACCGGGGAGGGUCAUUGGAAACUGGGAGACUUGAGUGCAGAAGAGGAGAGUGGAAUUCCAUGUGUAGCGGUGAAAUGCGUAGAUAUAUGGAGGAACACCAGUGGCGAAGGCGGCUCUCUGGUCUGUAACUGACGCUGAGGCUCGAAAGCGUGGGGAGCAAACAGGAUUAGAUACCCUGGUAGUCCACGCCGUAAACGAUGAGUGCUAAGUGUUGGAGGGUUUCCGCCCUUCAGUGCUGCAGCUAACGCAUUAAGCACUCCGCCUGGGGAGUACGACCGCAAGGUUGAAACUCAAAGGAAUUGACGGGGGCCCGCACAAGCGGUGGAGCAUGUGGUUUAAUUCGAAGCAACGCGAAGAACCUUACCAGGUCUUGACAUCCUUUGACCACUCUAGAGAUAGAGCUUCCCCUUCGGGGGCAAAGUGACAGGUGGUGCAUGGUUGUCGUCAGCUCGUGUCGUGAGAUGUUGGGGUUAAGUCCCGCAACGAGCGCAACCCUUAUUGUUAGUUGCCAUCAUUCAGUUGGGCACUCUAGCAAGACUGCCGGUGACAAACCGGAGGAAGGUGGGGAUGACGUCAAAUCAUCAUGCCCCUUAUGACCUGGGC
RNAcentral lists this ribosomal RNA (1181 nucleotides) under Enterococcus durans. RNAcentral's name for it is "bacterial SSU rRNA". It matches the Rfam family "Bacterial small subunit ribosomal RNA", at positions 61 to 1214 of the family's 1533-position model. The record is from RNAcentral. Lineage: Bacteria; Bacillati; Bacillota; Bacilli; Lactobacillales; Enterococcaceae.